RNAcentral lists this ribosomal RNA (273 nucleotides) under uncultured prokaryote. RNAcentral describes it as "partial 16S ribosomal RNA". It matches the Rfam family "Bacterial small subunit ribosomal RNA", at positions 524 to 796 of the family's 1533-position model. The record is from RNAcentral.
UACGUAGGGGGCGAGCGUUGUCCGGAAUGAUUGGGCGUAAAGGGCGCGCAGGCGGCCCGACAAGUCAGUAGUGGAAGUCCAUUUUUCAAGGGUGGAAGUGCUAUUGAAACUGUAGGGCUUGAGUGCGGGAGAGGUUAUCGGAAUUCCCGGUGUAGCGGUGAAAUGCGUAGAGAUCGGGAGGAACACCAGUGGCGAAGGCGGGUAACUGGACCGCAACUGACGCUGAGGCGCGAAAGUGUGGGGAGCAAACAGGAUUAGAUACCCUCGUAGUCC